This is a long non-coding RNA of Lolium perenne, 1170 nucleotides long. RefSeq lists it as uncharacterized. NCBI's taxonomy places the organism in Eukaryota, Viridiplantae, Streptophyta, Magnoliopsida, Poales, Poaceae. The record is from RefSeq and is a predicted model, not a curated record.
CGAAGGUAAGAUUCGUUACUUGUCUUUCCUAACAGGACGGGAUCCCGGGAGUCUGGCCUGUAUAUAACUCAGCUCUCGUCCGUUCCUCUUCGAUUUAGGGAUCUGGAUCUGGACUUCGGCUUAAUCUGCUACGGCGUUGCCUCCUCUUUCGUGCGUUGCUUCUUUCUUCUUUAGGUUGAUUUUGUAGUUUAAUUGACGACAACUUGGUCUGUUUUUAGUAUUUGUCCUGCUUUUCCUCAUCGGCUAAUUCUGCAAAUUUCUCUCUCUUGCUUCUUUUUGGAUUGGAUCUGUAAACUGUGUUGGUUUCUCAAAUACUCUCUUCAAUCCAUAUUAUUUGUCAUGUUCAAUGAACCUGGACAGAUUUUAGGCAACAUUCUGUCUAAAUCCAUGACAAGUAAUUUAAAUCGGAGAGAGUAAUUUAUUCUCGUCUUUAUUUACACAUUUGUAGAUCUGCUACCAUGUGGUUUAAAUUUGUCUAUGAAGCAUGGCCUCAUUGCUCUUUCAAUGACAUCCUUCUUGCUCGAGUCUCUUUUCUGCAUCAUUAUCUCGCCGCACUACCAAAUUUCAGAUUUCACUUUUGAGAAUCGUUUGGUCAUAUCUAGUGUUAGAUCCACCGCCUCCCUCAUCCGGGUGUGUCGGCAACGCAAGACUGUGCUACUGUACUUUAGCAUUUUAAACUUGGUUGGCGAUGCUUCAAGAAGUUUCUGGGUCCGUCAAUGGUCAUCUCGAACCCUAAUUUGGGUUUAGAAGUUUCAACUCAGCUACGAUUGGUGAUGAACAACAAUUCAUUGCGAAGAGAGGGCACAAAUCUACAUGUAGGUUGCAAGGUAGGCGACUAAGAACAAGGGCAGUGUGUCGACUGCCCAAAAUAGAACAACCACUCCCUUCAACCCUUUGUUUGAAAGGCAACAACAAAUUCACAAGAACUUAGGUACAGAUAUUUUUCACUCGAAUCUAUAUCCACAUUUAUUUUUGAGGAUAUGAUAUGCAUUUUUAGAAAUCCACUAGAUAUGAUGACUCUUCAGUCAUCGUUGGCUGCUCCGCUCGUCCAAAACCACAACACCGGCCUGCUCUGUCGGCGUCAAAUUUGUUGUCGCCAGCGAUGCCGAUGACAUCGCAGGUGUACUUACCGAAGCCGACGCUGAUGCCGUCGCGGUCGUGGUGUCGUUG